GAUGAACGCUGGCGGCGUGCCUAAUACAUGCAAGUCGAGCGAACAGACGAGGAGCUUGCUCCUUUGACGUUAGCGGCGGACGGGUGAGUAACACGUAGGUAACCUACCUAUAAGACUGGGAUAACUUCGGGAAACCGGAGCUAAUACCGGAUAAUAUUUCGAACCGCAUGGUUCGAUAGUGAAAGAUGGCUUUGCUAUCACUUAUAGAUGGACCUGCGCCGUAUUAGCUAGUUGGUAAGGUAACGGCUUACCAAGGCAACGAUACGUAGCCGACCUGAGAGGGAGAUCGGCCACACUGGAACUGAGACACGGUCCAGACUCCUACGGGAGGCAGCAGUAGGGAAUCUUCCGCAAUGGGCGAAAGCCUAACGGAGCAACGCCGCGUGAGUGAUGAAGGUCUUCGGAUCGUAAAACUCUGUUAUUAGGGAAGAACAAACGUGUAAGUAACUGUGCACGUCUUGACGGUACCUAAUCAGAAAGCCACGGCUAACUACGUG
Molecule: ribosomal RNA, 497 nt
Filed under: uncultured bacterium
Lineage: Bacteria
Description: partial 16S ribosomal RNA
Rfam family: Bacterial small subunit ribosomal RNA
Source: RNAcentral